GAGAAAACCGUCGUUGCAUCGCCUGGGAAGAGCGAUACAGAACUACUCUGGAGGGCGCUUCUAUGAGACUAGGAAUUGAGAAAGAAAAAGGAAGAGGCGUCAGCGGGUCAGAAGAUCAUGUCCGCUCGGCCCCCGCGUCGCCUACCCUAGGCGACACGGGCGGCAGCCCCCAAUCGCGUCGCCACAGGCCCCCCCUCCUCCAGCGACUCCCCUCGCCGCCGCCGGAGGCCACCACCGGGCGAAGCCCGCGUCGUGGCGGCGGCGGCGGGGUCUCACCCCGUAGUGUGGCUCUCUCACGCUAGGCCCACGGCGGGCGGCCCGCCUCCUGUGGUCCGUCAGCGGCUCUCCCGCGGCCUGGCGGCCGAUCCGGUGGCGCCCCUUCUCGGUGGCUGUCCCGGUGGUGGAUCUGGUUGUGCCGCCGCGGUCCCUCCCCGCCAUGGCGACCGGCGUCGCCGGGUGCGGCGCGUCCCCUCUCCCCCCUCCCACGAGCUCCACCUCGCGCACCCACCUGCCCACUGGCCCUGGUCGUCCGGCGUCUUCCUGGCGGCAGGGCCUUGUCCCGGCCGUGCCUCCUCUUUGGCUGGCCGUGGUGGGGCUGUUGACUCCUGGCCUCCGGCUGUCCGGCGCGCUCCCAGCGGCUGAGCCUCGUCCCAGCCAUGCCUCUUCCUCUCGGGUUGGUUGUGGUGCCAUUGGCAAUGGAUUCAGGCCUCCCCUGGCUCGAUCUGUGCUGUGGUCUGUCUGUGGUGGAGCGUCCGGCGGCGCCCGUUGUCAACUUCCCCGACCGAUGGGUGCGGCUCUUCUUCCGGUGGUGUGGGCUUGGCCUACUUUGCUUUCUGCGUCUUCGAAUCCGGUUCCAGUAGCACUUGGGAUUGUGCGGAAUUUGGCCAGGGCGAAAGCCUUGCUCGGCUCACCGGUGCUGGCGGCAGCGACACCUGCGGGUGCCGUUUCCUUCUUAGAGGUGCCGCCAUGGCCUCUUCUCCGCGCCCCUACGCGAGUAUCAGGGGAAACCCUAGAUCUAGUUCACUAGAUCGGACCGGCGGCGUCUCGGCGUCGUAUCCUUCAUGAAGGCGCGGUCUUGUUGCUCGUGGUGUGUUUGGUGUUGGAUCCGAAGAUUUUGGAUGCUUUGCUGGUCUGGGCUGCUCCUCUUGGCGUGGGUAUCCGGGGCGCAAUGUACGGCCUUGACGGCGCUCUCUCCAUGGCUUCUCCUUCUAGCCGGGCCAGGUCCUGCACCCCACUUGCCGAUCUUCUAGGCGCAUAGGUGGGGGGUACGUUGAUCCGGUCCGUCGUGAAGUCGUGGUUGUGUGAUGAUGGUGCCCGGCAUUGGUCAUGACGCGCCCUUGAUACCUUGUAUCUCGCCUCUUUGCCUUGUCGGCUGGAGUCCGAGCUAGAAGAGUUUGGUGCUGUGUUGUAUCCCUCUUUGUUUUUCCCACACCUUGUGUGGUGCUUCUCCCUUCUCUUGUAUGCCUCUGUAUUUUUCUUCUAC
Molecule: ribosomal RNA, 1483 nt
Filed under: Triticum aestivum (bread wheat)
Lineage: Eukaryota; Viridiplantae; Streptophyta; Magnoliopsida; Poales; Poaceae
Description: partial small subunit ribosomal RNA
Source: RNAcentral